UCUCCGGUUGGAACUGUUGAUUUAGUCAUUUAUCUUGUAAUAACUAUAGGAUUCGCUUCUAUACAUUUUGUUGGGUCUAAAGAGGUGCCUUUAUUGGGCUUUCUGUUUCCCUCUCUGGGAGCUUAUCCCGUGCACUUAUUUUAUGACCCGUAUUGGGUUGAUUGAUCGGUCUCGCCUCGUGUUUGAUUUUGCGUUCCAAGUCGUGUGGUCGGGUCCGAGU
RNAcentral lists this long non-coding RNA (220 nucleotides) under Actinidia chinensis (golden kiwifruit). Its description in RNAcentral is "long non-coding RNA (ACHI_LNC008772)". The record is from RNAcentral. Lineage: Eukaryota; Viridiplantae; Streptophyta; Magnoliopsida; Ericales; Actinidiaceae.